AUUAAACGCUGGCGGCAUGCCUUACACAUGCAAGUCGAACGGUAGCGCGGGGCAACCUGGCGACGAGUGGCGAACGGGUGAGUAAAGCAUCGGAACGUGCCCUGGAAUGGGGGAUAACGUAGCGAAAGUUACGCUAAUACCGCAUAUUCUGUGAGCAGGAAAGCAGGGGAUCGCAAGACCUUGCGUUCUGGGAGCGGCCGAUGUCGGAUUAGCUAGUUGGUGGGGUAAAAGCCUACCAAGGCGACGAUCCGUAGCGGGUCUGAGAGGAUGAUCCGCCACACUGGGACUGAGACACGGCCCAGACUCCUACGGGAGGCAGCAGUGGGGAAUAUUGCGCAAUGGGCGAAAGCCUGACGCAGCGACGCCGCGUGAGGGACGAAGGUCUUCGGAUUGUAAACCUCUUUCAGCAGGGACGAAGCGAAAGUGACUGUACCUGCAGAAGAAGCAACCGGCUAACUACGUGCCAGCAG
This 470-nucleotide ribosomal RNA is filed under the name uncultured bacterium. RNAcentral describes it as "bacterial SSU rRNA". It matches the Rfam family "Bacterial small subunit ribosomal RNA", at positions 29 to 514 of the family's 1533-position model. The record is from RNAcentral.